UACGGGGGGGGCAAGCGUUGUUCGGAAUUACUGGGCGUAAAGGGCUCGUAGGCGGCCAACUAAGUCGGACGUGAAAUCCCCAGGCUCAACCUGGGAACUGCGUCCGAUACUGGAUGGCUUGAAUCCGGGAGAGGGAUGCAGAAUUCCAGGUGUAGCGGUGAAAUGCGUAGAGAUCGGGAGGAACACCAGUGGCGAAGGCGGCUCUCUGGCCUGCAACUGACGCUGAGGCGCGAAAGCGUGGGGAGCAAACAGG
This 253-nucleotide ribosomal RNA is filed under the name uncultured bacterium. Its description in RNAcentral is "partial 16S ribosomal RNA". It matches the Rfam family "Bacterial small subunit ribosomal RNA", at positions 524 to 776 of the family's 1533-position model. The record is from RNAcentral.